Long non-coding RNA from Peromyscus leucopus (white-footed mouse), 362 nucleotides. RefSeq lists it as uncharacterized. NCBI's taxonomy places the organism in Eukaryota, Metazoa, Chordata, Mammalia, Rodentia, Cricetidae. The transcript is spliced from 2 exons. The record is from RefSeq and is a predicted model, not a curated record.
CGACAGAGAUGAACCGGGGCUCCCCGAGGCCGGGCCGGGACACGAUGGUGUGGAAAUACCGCAUGGAGUGCGAGCCUGGGGGCGGCGCGCGGCGGUGGUGCUGGUGGUUGGAAUUUCUAUCCAGCAGCCAUGAACAAGGACGCUGUUGAUUACUCAGGAUCUGGACACCCAAUGUGGGUGAGAACAGGAAACUUGUCAUCAGUGUCCAGGCAGAAGGACCUGACACAGGAGCUGGAGAAUUGAAACCUGGGACCAGGGGAAUCUCCAGCUCUGUGCUUCCCCAUACCCGAUCUCCCCUGGGGAGCAAGACUUUGCCAAGAACACUUAAAAUUGUAAUAAAAUGUUUUGAAUACUUUGUUCAU